RNAcentral lists this ribosomal RNA (497 nucleotides) under uncultured bacterium. Its description in RNAcentral is "partial 16S ribosomal RNA". It matches the Rfam family "Bacterial small subunit ribosomal RNA", at positions 28 to 507 of the family's 1533-position model. The record is from RNAcentral.
GAUGAACGCUGGCGGCGUGCCUAAUACAUGCAAGUCGAGCGAACGGACGAGAAGCUUGCUUCUCUGAUGUUAGCGGCGGACGGGUGAGUAACACGUGGAUAACCUACCUAUAAGACUGGGAUAACUUCGGGAAACCGUAGCUAAUACCGGAUAAUAUUUUGAACCGCAUGGUUCAAAAGUGAAAGACGGUCUUGCUGUCACUUAUAGAUGGAUCCGCGUUGCAUUAGCUAGUUGGUAAGGUAACGGCUUACCAAGGCAACGAUGCAUAGCCGACCUGAGAGGGUGAUCAGCCACACUGGAACUGAGACACGGUCCAGACUCCUACGGGAGGCAGCAGUAGGGAAUCUUCCGCAAUGGGCGAAAGCCUGACGGAGCAACGCCGCGUGAGUGAUGAAGGUCUUCGGAUCGUAAAACUCUGUUAUUAGGGAAGAACAUAUGUGUAAGUAACUGUGCACAUCUUGACGGUACCUAAACAGAAAGCCACGGCUAACUACGUG